UUGCUUGAACAAGACCAAAAGGUAGCAUUGUACAAGAGUUUAAAAACAAAUCAAACUACGCAACUGUACUUUCAAUCUCUCACAUGAACAAGAGUAUGCCGUUACAUGUAUAUGUAUAAUCAGAUCCCAAAUUCAUUAAACUUCAGCAAAAUGCAUGGUCACAAACUCUGAUUACUCCCUCCCCCUAACCACAGGGAGUAAGUUUCUUAUUGCCUGCACCUCGAGGAUUGUCGUCCUUCCAGUCGUCCCAUGCCCUAGCCUUCUCCUGAGCAGCAUCAUCGUCUUCAUCUUCGUCUUCUGCACUAGGGCCGGGCUUUCGAUUGUUGUCCUUAUGCCAUGCAGAGUUUGCUUCUUCUAUGUACUUGGCAGUCCUCUCUUG
RNAcentral lists this unclassified non-coding RNA (379 nucleotides) under Hevea brasiliensis (rubber tree). Lineage: Eukaryota; Viridiplantae; Streptophyta; Magnoliopsida; Malpighiales; Euphorbiaceae. The record is from RNAcentral.